This 1760-nucleotide long non-coding RNA is filed under the name Homo sapiens (human). RNAcentral describes it as "HSALNT0197255". The record is from RNAcentral. Lineage: Eukaryota; Metazoa; Chordata; Mammalia; Primates; Hominidae.
GAAAGGGAGUUCCCUUCCGCCUCCCUAAUGCCAUGGAAUGGGGAAGGGUACAACUCUAGGAUCAGACCCAAAGGGAACUGUUGUGAAUCUUGAUUUUGUGACUUCUUGGCUAUUGGAUUUGGGCCAAUUAUUUGUCAUCUCUGUACCUUAAUUUACUCAUCUAUGAAAGAAGGACUAAAAAUACUUAUCAUAGGAGAAGACAAUAUGUAAGCCACUUGGCAAUGUGCCUGGGACCUAGUGAGCGAUUCUUCUCACUUAUUAUUGUUUUCGUCAUCAUCGACAUCAUCGUCACCAUUACUUUUCAUUGUCUUUGGAAAUUUGGACAGAGACCACAGGCAGAUGCGGUGCCGUAUUCCCACAGGGCUGGAGCAGCGGGUGUGUUUUUCUGUGAUAGCAGCGCUUCCCGGAACCAGCAGGGUACACGUUAUUUGACCUGAAGGGCGAGGGAGUUCAGAGCCUACAGUGAUGAGAGAAAGCCCUGAGUGAACGUUUCCUUUCAGCUUCGUGAGAGGAAGAGUCUAAAUAGGGGAGCCAUCCCCAAAACCUGACCACGAGCAAGGGUGCAAAAUAGGGUGCAGUCUCUUCACAUAUCUAGACAGGAGAUGACACGGCAGUUAGGAGCUUCUCUGGGGCCUUCAGGCAGACGGUCUGGGCUGUGUCCUGGCUGUGCCUUUUCCCAGCCCUACCUGCAGUCCUACACAUCUUCUCCACCUCCAGCGGCUUCUCCUUCUCACAUCCACCCUCUGCGAAGGCAUAAAUAGUAGCAACUCCCUUCUGGAUUCUAUGAGGUGAUAAUUACAUGAGAUGGCAGAGCCUGGAGCACGGGAGCUCCUCAGUGACUCAGUCAUGUUCAUUCCAAGGAGUUCAGGGUCCUUGCCGUCUGCAAACCUUUCCCCUUAUUUUCAAGAUCCUUGAGUCUGACUGUCAAGCAGUAACAUUCCAGCCUCAACUACAACAAUACUUGUAGAUGGAUGGAGCUUCCACUGGACCCCAUGUCACUGGUGAGGGACUUCAGGCAGAGAGAAAGCUCAUCCUUUGCCCAAGGUCACACCGCUGGUAAAAAGCAAAUGAAGUUCAAACUGACCUCCUCAUCCCUGCCCUUGUCCUCCCAACAGGCUCCUCACAGGUGGAAAAAUCAACCCCUACAGCAAACUCAUUGUUUUUUUGACCUCUCCUAAAAUUAAAAUCCAAGAUCCCUCAUGAGCUCUGUGAUCUUGGGUAAGGUGUUUUUUUUUUUUUCACCUCUAUGGGUUCCAGUUUCCUCCAAAGAAAAACCAAGGGUUUUGCAAACAUUUAAUUGUCAGUGCACAUCAUGCCAGUUUCAUGUCCUUGACCUUGGGAGAAGGCUGGCCAGUGGCCAGAACCGUCCUCUAUGCUCUGAGGCUGAGAGGCGUCAAAGCAAAGCUCUGUGACACACAUUACCUUUGAGCCCCCAAAGAACAUGAAGGAGCCCAGCCUGGGGGGUGCUUCUACUCUCUCUCUCCCAGUCCAGACUCCAGCUACUUCCCCUAAAGAGGAAGGCCAUGCUGAGUGUCUCCAGCUGAGGACGUGUUACUCCAAGACUCAUCUCCUUUGAUGUCUGGUCUCGUUAGCGGCUACGGUGGUAUAGGUGCUGACUGGGUUAACUCCAUCAAUAUUCUCCUUCUUACUCACCUACUUUGCUGUUUAAUAACAUAAUACAUAUUCUUGUAUCUUUUUUAAUCCUUUGUUCUGCAUGAGUUAUAACACUUUGGCCUUCCAGGAUCAGUAAUCCAAGAAAU